Molecule: long non-coding RNA, 4061 nt
Filed under: Homo sapiens (human)
Lineage: Eukaryota; Metazoa; Chordata; Mammalia; Primates; Hominidae
Description: HSALNT0400049
Source: RNAcentral
AAUAAAUGCGGGGAUGCCUCGGCUCGGAGCAGUCGGCCUCCUCCCUCCGCGAGCUGGACGCUCCGCAGCCCGCCCGCCAGCCGGCCCGCCGGCCGCCGCAGGAAUCCCUGGAUAAAGACCAGCUCAACCAUCGCUGAGAAAACAGACCUAGGCUUCCCAGGGCGGUUAACCCGCCGGCCUCUGGGCAGAGACUAAAAGACAAAACAAAAUAAAACAACAACAAAAAACUCCCAGUGUGUUUCCUACUCUUCUUUGUCUUGGAGGAAAGCAAAGGGAGAGAAAUGGACUUCACCAGUGGUCUUUGGCUUCAUCAAUUCACAGGAAAUGGCAUCAAGAUGGUUCAACUAAGACAUGAUCACUAAAAACAUUAUAAUAAUACCUUUUUGAAAAACUCAGUUUCUCCUGUUUACUAAAUAUUUAUUUCAUCAACAUGGGCUGCGUUCCACUGUGUCAGGAUUCUGCAUGUGGGUGGAGCACUGUUCCAGCCUGAGAAGAUGGUUCUGAGGCCACUUAGCAAGACAUUUUCCAGCAUGAGCAGGUUUCUCUGUGGAAAUAGUGACACCUGUUCUGGUGUGUUGUCUUUCCUCAGGGAACUUAAGGGGUACAAAGCUCCUGAAAAUGUUCUUUAUGCUGGUUGAAGCUCUUAUGUCGCUGUACUGAUUCCCUACGAUGCAGAUUUGAAUCACAGAGUAAUUAAAAUAUGGAUCAAAUAAGGCUGGGGCUCACCAAGGCUGAAAGCUGUAGCCAUUCAAGGCAUCAUUUCUGUCAUGAAAAUAUAGGACCUUUUCAAAACAUGCCUUCAGGAAGGUGUUCUCUUUUCAAACAAAAGUCUAAUGACUGCAUAACUCUUCUUGACCACAUCUUACACUUUCUCUAGACUUGCUUAUUUACAGCUACUGGAACAAAAAGAUGAAAUGAAUAAAGCACACUGAUUGUCCUAAGAGUCUUCUGUGACUAAAAGCACAUGAGCUUCUCCCCAGGCUGAGCUUUGACCCUCCCAAGCAUUUCCCCAAAGGCCAUGACACUGCAUCAGAUUGCUCCUGGACACUUUCCUCAGAGUUUUCAACAAAUAUAAACUGAGGAGUGGAGCACAGCACCAGAUUUGCUAAUCAAGAGGCAAUGGUCCCAGUCCAAAUGGGUGCUGUGUGUGAAUACAGAGCCCAGGAGAAGGGAAGGAGGUCUGUGAACAUCAGGAAUUGCAAAAUCUUGCUGAACCAAUAGACCAACAGCCAUUAACAUUUGUCAAUGCAAAGAUCCUAAAAUAUACAAGUGUGGAGUUGUCCUGCCCUAAGAGCUGAAGCUGUGACAAUCACGCUGCCAUGGAUCAAUAUUUCCAGCAAAGGAGUCCACACUCAAGAUACACUGCUACGUCUCACUUUUUCCUUGACACAACAAUUUAUUUUAUAAAUGCAUCUGCUGGAGAAGAAAAGGCAGUACCAAGGAUUGUGUCUUUUAUCUCCAGGAUAUGCAAAGCGCAUUUAUUUUCAGCUUUUAUCUCUGGAAUUGUAUGUUGAUCCCAUACAUAUAGAUUGAUUUUGUUCAGGUAGAUAAUGAAAAGUCAAGUGGAAAAUUACACAAUGGCAUUCACGAUCCUAGUCUUAUAUCAGUAUAUAAAUUGGUUUAUUAUUUCAUUCUAUUAAAGAGGCUUUUUUUUGGUACCAGGAAAACUUCAAAAUGCAUUGUGUUGUCAGCCUCACUGAAUUUUCUUUUGGAGGAGGAGGUAGGGAGGGGAAGCCAAAGCCCCGAUUUCUCCUGCUCCUUUUGCUAAUUGUAUUGGCUAAAUGAGCUUUCACAGAGGGGGGUCCUGGCUGCUUUUUGCUCUCCCCCAGACCACUUGUAGGUUGCACACAGGGCUUCUAUAACUCUUUCUGAGUCAGGACAAAGAUAUCCGCCGUGCACACCCUGUGACAUAGGUGGAUAUUUAUUUCAUCCCGGGCAAUUCUAAAUUUUGUCAUGAUGACUGAAAGAGGCAAUCCCCUCCUGAGCAUUAAGAGGCCAGGGGUGAGAGGGUGGCAGCAUAGAAAAGCCACCACCCAGAGACAGCUUGGAGCCAUGAUCCUGGAGGAAAUGUUAUUAAUAAACAUCUUUUGGACAUUUGGUAGCCCGUGGAGCUUGCUCCAGCUUAAAGCAAUUAAUUCAGGACACUGACAUAAACUCUCCAGAUCUUUGACAGCUUGGAGCCGAAAUAAAAAUGCUAGUUCUCCGGGGAAGAGAAGAGGAUGGCUAGCCCUUUUCUGGACUGUUUGCUUAUAGGCCCAGAGAGCAACCUUCCUUGCAGAAUGAAAUGCAAGGGCACAAACAAUGUACCAGGGAGAGAAUAGAAGAUGGGAAUGAACAGUUUGAACUAUUUGCUCAGCAGAAGGGCACCACAAUGCUGGGGUAGUGGUUUUCCCAUGCGUCCACUGUCCCUUCUUUGGGAUCUUUUGUUGUCCCCUGUCUCCUUUGGCCAGAUAAAAGCACAGCUGCAGCAUUGCAGAUAACAAGUAGGCCGUACUUAUCCCCCUAAAUCUCGGGGUGCCUUUACUGUAACAAGUUAUGCUCGGCUCUCUUUUAUUUUACAAGAGGAUGGUGAGGGAGAGAAUGGAAGAACAGAGGGGGCGGACGUAUAAGACAUUUGACACUGCCUAUGUCUGAUUUCUCUUUCUUUCUUUCUUUCUUUCUUUCUUUCUUUCUUUCUUUCUUUCCUUUCUUUCUUUCUUGCAAGCUGUGAUCGGAUGCAAUCUUUGUGGGACAUUUAAAUGGAAGGGUUCAUUGAUGUGUAUUGCUUGCCAAGCCAAAAUGUUGCCUUUGGGGAAAAGGGAGAGAGGUGUUCAUGGAGUGCAGGGAAAGGAGGUUUUGGGGCAGAGAUUUUGACUUAAAAUAACCAGACUUCUUCUGGCUGCUGAAAAGAGGCAAAAGUUUUAAAUUGUCAAGUUUAAAACUAUGUUCAGUUAUGAUUUGCCACUUCUGAAUAUUAUUUUGGAUUUCCCCUUUCAUGCUUAUUUUGUUCAGAAUCCUAAUGAAUAGAGGUUGCUGGACUCAGGGUAAAAGCAGGAUGAACUGGAGAUGGGACAUACAAGGUACUUUUGGAAUUGCCAUAGAUUACACCUAUAAUCAGAGUAAAUGUCAUCAACAAAUAAUCAAAAUAUUUUUUACAUUUGCUCUUCUAAAAUCAGAGCCUAUUUUAAAUAUAAAAGAAAGUAGAUGUGAUAAUAAUAUAAACUACAGUCACAUUAAGUUGAUAUUAAAUUCAAAAUCUAACAUAGAUUUGCACUGUUGGGUGUGUGUUCCGAAUCAGUGGGUUUUCCCACUGAUGUUGAUUUCGGGAGCCAGGCUUCAAUGUUUAAUUCUAUUGUAAUGUGGUUAUUUAGCCUGAAUGGUUUUAUAAGGUGGAAAGGCAAAAAAUUUAAUUCCGAAGAAAACUAGUGUUUUACUAUGACUGUGGUAAACAUUUCCAAAGCCCACCUGUGGGAAAUACAAAGUUUUAAUGCUGUGUGUUUUUUUGUUUUUGUAUUUUGUCUCAUCGACAAAACUGGCAGAAAAAAACGCUUUCGUAUAUUUUUCCUGCUGGGUGGUCAGAAGGAAAGGCCGUGAAGCUAAAGGUCUCCCACUGAGACGCUGUUCUGCAAGGAGCCGACCUCACGUGCCGCCGCCGCCAGAGAAGAGAGCACCUGUUCAUCUCGGCUCACUGUGAGGCUGAGCUCAGCGCUGGCAGGCGAGGGGCCGCAAGCAUCCCCCACAGCCACCGAGAGGGCAUCCCUGCAGGGAAAUCAUAUCCGACAUGCCUGUGCCCACAGCAGACUUAAGACUGCCUCUAAAAUGUCCAUGAAGCCAUUGUCCAGUAGAGCUGUUAGUUUUAACACCAGUGAGUAUUACCUUUGGUUAAAAGGAUGCAUGUGUAUAGGUGUAUGUGUGUGCGUGUGUGUUUGUGUUUUUGGACUUGUGUGGAGAAUGAAGAAAGGGUUCCAUUUAGGCAUUUGCAAAUAUUCGAUGGCAUCAUGAAAAGACAAAAAAAUCCUAUAAAAUAUAUCAUAUUUUGCUAUGAUUUUGUGUGUACAUGUAAUAAAAUUAUUAAGUAUAAA